AAUAACCUUAUUUCUCGUUUUUCCAUGCCUAACGUUUGACCAUUCGUCUUAUUUGAAAAAUUUAUAUAAAAAUUUUAAAAAAUUAGUCACGUAUAAAGUAUUAUUCAUAUUUUAUCAUCUAGUAACAAUAAAAAUAUUAACCGCAAAAAAUUUCAAAUAAUUUCAAAUAAGACGAAUGGUAAAACGUUGGGCACAGAAAA
Molecule: non-coding RNA, 200 nt
Organism: Oryza brachyantha (malo sina)
Lineage: Eukaryota; Viridiplantae; Streptophyta; Magnoliopsida; Poales; Poaceae
Source: Rfam